Molecule: ribosomal RNA, 463 nt
Filed under: uncultured bacterium
Lineage: Bacteria
Description: partial 16S ribosomal RNA
Rfam family: Bacterial small subunit ribosomal RNA
Source: RNAcentral
GACGAACGCUGGCGGCGCGCCUAACACAUGCAAGUCGAACGGUGAGGAGUAGCUUUCUUCUCGGAACAGUGGCGGACGGAUGAGUAACUCGUGAGCAAGCUGGCUCUAAUAGGGGGACAACAGUUGGAAACGACUGCUAAUACCGCAUGACUUAUCGGUAUGACAUCUUCCUGAUAGCUAAGAUUUUAUCAGUUAGAGAUGGGCUCGCGUCUGAUCAGAGAAUUGGCUGGGUAACGGACCACCAAGUCGACGAGCAGUAGCCGGAAUGAGAGCUUGAACGGAACCAUUGGGAGUGGGACACGGACCAGACCCCUAGGGGAGGAAGAAGGGGGGGCUAUUGGACACUGGGGGAAACAAUGAUCCAGCGACGCCGCGUGAGGGAAGAAGGUUUUAGGAUCGUAAACGUCUGUUGAAGGAGCAAAAAAUGAUGGUAUCCGUUUAGAAAGCCACGGCUAACUACGUG